Molecule: ribosomal RNA, 300 nt
Filed under: uncultured bacterium
Lineage: Bacteria
Description: bacterial SSU rRNA
Rfam family: Bacterial small subunit ribosomal RNA
Source: RNAcentral
UCCGCUUGAAGAUGAGCUUGCGUCUGAUUAGCUAGUUGGUGAGGGUAAAGGCCCACCAAGGCGACGAUCAGUAGCCGGUCUGAGAGGAUGAACGGCCACAUUGGGACUGAGACACGGCCCAGACUCCUACGGGAGGCAGCAGUGGGGAAUCUUCCGCAAUGGGCGAAAGCCUGACGGAGCAACGCCGCGUGAACGAAGAAGGUCUUAGGAUCGUAAAGUUCUGUUGUUAGGGGCGAAGGGCGAUAGUUUAAAUAAGGCUAUUGUUUGACGGUACUUAACGAGGAAGCCACGGCUAACUAC